GACGAACGCUGGCGGCGUGCUUAACACAUGCAAGUCGAACGAGAGCGUAGAGAAAGCUUGCUUUUUCUACAAUCUAGUGGCAAACGGGUGAGUAACGCGUAAACAACCUGCCCUACGGAUGGGGACAACAGCUGGAAACGGCUGCUAAUACCGAAUACGUUCCGAAAGUCGCAUGACUAUCGGAAGAAAGAAUGGCCUCUAUUUAUAAGCUAUCGCCGUAGGAGGGGUUUGCGUCUGAUUAGCUAGUUGGAGGGGUAACGGCCCACCAAGGCGACGAUCAGUAGACGGGCUGAGAGGAUGAACGGCCACAUUGGAACUGAGACACGGUCCAGACUCCUACGGGAGGCAGCAGUGGGGAAUCUUCCGCAAUGGGCGAAAGCCUGACGGAGCAACGCCGCGUGAGUGAAGACGGCCUUCGGGUUGUAAAGCUCUGUUAUACGGGACGAAUAAUCUUGUGGUUAAUACCCAUGAGAAGUGACGGUACCGUAAGAGAAAGCCACGGCUAAUUACGUG
Molecule: ribosomal RNA, 513 nt
Filed under: uncultured bacterium
Lineage: Bacteria
Description: partial 16S ribosomal RNA
Rfam family: Bacterial small subunit ribosomal RNA
Source: RNAcentral